GACGAACGCGGCGGUGUGCUUAACACAUGCAAGUCGAACGGUAAGGCCCUUUCGGGGGUACACGAGUGGCGAACGGGUGAGUAACACGUGAGUAACCUGCCCUCAUCUCUGGGAUAACAGUCGGAAACGGUUGCUAAUACUGGAUAUGAGCUUGCAAGGCAUCUUGUGGGUUGGAAAGAUAUUUUUUGGUUGGGGAUGGACUCGCGGCCUAUCAGCUUGUUGGUGAGGUAGUGGCUCACCAAGGCUUCGGCGGGUAGCCGGCCUGAGAGGGCGACCGGCCACAUUGGGACUGAGAUACGGCCCAAACUCCUACGGGAGGCAGCAGUGGGGAAUAUUGCACAAUGGACGGAAGUCUGAUGCAGCAACGCCGCGUGCGGGAUGACGGCCUUCGGGUUGUAAACCGCUUUCAAUUGUGACGAAGCUUUUUGUGACGU
Molecule: ribosomal RNA, 434 nt
Filed under: Arachnia propionica
Lineage: Bacteria; Bacillati; Actinomycetota; Actinomycetes; Propionibacteriales; Propionibacteriaceae
Description: bacterial SSU rRNA
Rfam family: Bacterial small subunit ribosomal RNA
Source: RNAcentral